This 84-nucleotide unclassified non-coding RNA is filed under the name Rhodotorula toruloides. The record is from RNAcentral. Lineage: Eukaryota; Fungi; Basidiomycota; Microbotryomycetes; Sporidiobolales; Sporidiobolaceae.
GUCGUACCCCUCAAGGGCUUCUUGAAGGAGGUGCCGACACGUCGUUUGUCGCUCGAUUUUGCCACUCUCGGUGCUACACGGGAC